Molecule: ribosomal RNA, 466 nt
Filed under: uncultured bacterium
Lineage: Bacteria
Description: bacterial SSU rRNA
Rfam family: Bacterial small subunit ribosomal RNA
Source: RNAcentral
GACGAACGCUGGCGGCGUGCUUAAAACAUGCAAGUCGAACGGACUUCUCAUGAAGCUUGCGAUUGAGAAGUUAGUGGCGGACGGGUGAGUAACGCGUGGGCAACCUGCCCCUGAGCCCGGGAUAACAGUUCGAAAGGACUGCUAAGACCGGAUAUACUUGCGGUGAAGCAUUUCACUGCAAGGAAAGGGAACGCUCAGGGAUGGGCCCGCGUCCCAUUAGCUAGUUGGUGAGGUAACGGCCCACCAAGGCGACGAUGGGUAGCCGGCCUGAGAGGGUGAACGGCCACACUGGGACUGAGACACGGCCCAGACUCCUACGGGAGGCAGCAGUUGGGAAUCUUCGGCAAUGGGCGCAAGCCUGACCGAGCAACGCCGCGUGAGUGAUGAAGGUUUUCGGAUUGUAAAGCUCUGUCUUCCGGGACGAUAAUGACGGUACCGGAGGAGGAAGCCACGGCUAAACUACGUG